AUCUUACUAAUAUAAACCACUGUCAAUAACAUAAAGCAUCAACUGUAAAAAAAUUUUUAGCGAUAAACUUUAUUAUAUUUAAAACUGGCUACGUAAUUCUCAACUAAACUGCAGCUUGUAGGGAUUCCUGAGCUAUUUGUAGCGCCUCCUCAACUGAAGAUGCUUUCUGAAGUUUGGAUUUAUCAACAGUAGGCUGGCUCCUUGCAAGUUUCGGAAGAAGUU
Molecule: unclassified non-coding RNA, 222 nt
Filed under: Hevea brasiliensis (rubber tree)
Lineage: Eukaryota; Viridiplantae; Streptophyta; Magnoliopsida; Malpighiales; Euphorbiaceae
Source: RNAcentral